This 327-nucleotide unclassified non-coding RNA is filed under the name Melitaea cinxia (Glanville fritillary). RNAcentral's name for it is "misc RNA ENSMCXG00005016935.1". Lineage: Eukaryota; Metazoa; Arthropoda; Insecta; Lepidoptera; Nymphalidae. The record is from RNAcentral.
AUUUUUAUAACCGCCAGCAUAAGGGUUCUUCGUCAAGUCUUGACUUCGAAGAUCCCGCAAUGCUUCACGUCUUCGAGCAAUAUGUCCUGCCUGUCUUACAGCUUAACAUACGGAGCCGAAUCGUGGACACUGACGAAGGGACUGGCCCACAAUUUUAGAGUCGUUUAACGUGCAAUGGAAAGGGCGGCAAAAUGACCUUAAUGGUCAAGUUCAUUUUUUAUAUCGGACACAAAUUUUAAUACGUAAAAGUCGGCAAGCAACAUACACUCAAAGUAUUUCUACAUUUAUCGCGAUUUAAAUUAUUUCAAAUCACAAACUUUCGUUGCU